UACGGAAGGCAGCAGUGGGGAAUAUUGCACAAUGGGCGAAAGCCUGAUGCAGCUAUGCCGCGUGUAUGAAGAAGGCCUUAGGGUUGUAAAGUACUUUCAUCGGGGAGGAAAAACAAAACUAAUAAUUUUAUUUCUUGACGUUACCCGAAAAAGAAGCACCGGCUAACUCCGUGCCAGCAGCCGCGGUAAUACGGAGGGUGCUAGCGUUAAUCAGAAUUACUGGGCGUAAAGAGCACGUAGGUGGUUUUUUUAAGUCAGAUGUGAAAUCCCUGGGCUUUAACCUAGGAACUGCAUUUUGAAACUGAAAUACUAGAGUAUCGUAGAGGGAGGUAGAAUUCUAGGUGUAGCGGUGAAAUGCGUAGAUAUCUGGAGGAAUACCUGUGGCGAAAGCGGCCUCCUAAACGAAUACUGACACUGAGGUGCGAAAGCGUGGGGAGCAAACAGGGAUUAGAUACC
This 456-nucleotide ribosomal RNA is filed under the name uncultured bacterium. Its description in RNAcentral is "bacterial SSU rRNA". It matches the Rfam family "Bacterial small subunit ribosomal RNA", at positions 340 to 786 of the family's 1533-position model. The record is from RNAcentral.